UACAACGAAACUGCGAAUGGCUCGGUAAAACAGCAAUAAUUUAUUCGGGGGUAAUUGCUACUUGGAUAACCGUAGUAAAGCUAGAGCUAAUACGUGCUACAAAGGCGAGAUUCGCUCUCGUGGUACUAAGUAUUAGGUACAACCCAAUUUUUUUGGUGAUUCAUACUUAUCUUCUGAUCGCACUCUGUGCGACGCCCCGAAUAAAUUUCUGACCUAUCAACUUCGAUGGUAAGGUAGUGUCUUACCAUGGUUGUGACGGGUAACGGACCGUGGGUGCGGGAUUCCGGAGAGGGAGCCUGAGAAACGGCUACCACAUCCAAGGAAGGCAGCAGGCGCGCAACUUACCCAAUCCGAACUUCGGGAGGUAGUGACAAAAAAUAUCAAUAAGGGGACCGAUGGUCUUCUUAAUUGGAAUGAAAACAAUCUAAACACCUUAUUAAGGAACCAGCAGAGGGCAAGUCUGGUGCCAGCAGCCGCGGUAAUUCCAGCUCUGUAAGCGUAUACCAAAGUUGUUGCAGUUAAAACGCUCGUAGUCGAACUUUGGCGUGAGUUACGGAGACUCCUAAUGGACGUUGAAGUAACUCCGCCUUUGUGGAGGGGGGUGCGGUGGUACUUUAUUGUAUUGCUGCGCUUCCGCCACUGUUUACUGUGAAAAAAUUAGAGUGUUCAAAGCGAGCGUUUGCCAUGAAUACAUUAGCAUGGAAUAAUAGAAUAGGACCUGAUCCUGUUUUGUUGGUUUGUCUGUAUCAGGUAAUGAUUAACAGGGACGGUCGGGGGCAUUUGUAUUCCAGCGUUAGAGGUGAAAUUCUUGGAUCGCUGGAAGACAAACAGCUGCGAAAGCGUCUGCCAAGGACGUUUUCAUUGAUCAAGAACGAAAGUAAGGGGAUCGAAGACGAUCAGAUACCGUCGUAGUCUUUACUAUAAACGAUGAUGACUAAGGAUCAGCCGUGGCCUAUUGGUACGGUUGGCACUUUCCGGGAAACCAAAGUUUUUGAUUUCUGGGGGGAGUAUGGUCGCAAGUCUGAAACUUAAAGGAAUUGACGGAAGGGCAUCACCGGGUGUGGAGCCUGCGGCUUAAUUUGACUCAACACGGGAAAACUUACCAGGUCCAGACAUAGUAAGGAUUGACAGAUUGAGAGCUCUUUCUUGAUUCUAUGGUUGGUG
RNAcentral lists this ribosomal RNA (1164 nucleotides) under Laurencia sp. ARS-2010. RNAcentral's name for it is "SSU rRNA". It matches the Rfam family "Eukaryotic small subunit ribosomal RNA", at positions 77 to 1279 of the family's 1831-position model. The record is from RNAcentral. Lineage: Eukaryota; Rhodophyta; Florideophyceae; Ceramiales; Rhodomelaceae.